UACGGGGGGUGCGAGCGUUGUCCGGAAUCACUGGGCGUAAAGGGCGCGUAGGCGGUUCGGUAAGUCGGGUGUGAAAACUCUGGGCUCAACCCAGAGCCGCCACCUGAUACUGCUGUGACUAGAGUGCGGUAGGGGAGCGGGGAAUUCCUGGUGUAGCGGUGAAAUGCGCAGAUAUCAGGAGGAACACCAGUGGCGAAGGCGCCGCUCUGGGCCGUGACUGACGCUGAGGAGCGAAAGCGUGGGUAGCAAACAGG
This 254-nucleotide ribosomal RNA is filed under the name uncultured bacterium. Its description in RNAcentral is "partial 16S ribosomal RNA". It matches the Rfam family "Bacterial small subunit ribosomal RNA", at positions 524 to 776 of the family's 1533-position model. The record is from RNAcentral.